AGUCCCCUGUCACAUCCCCCUACCUCAUCCUUCACCUCCCCAGGAGGAGUGACUGAUUCUGUUCCUUUGUAUCCUUAGGGCCCCCCAGGAUCUGAAGGCCUCCCAGGCCCCCCAGGCCCAGCGGGUCCCAGAGGAGAGCGAGGACCCCAAGGUAACUCCGGUGAGAAGGGCGACCAGGGAUUUCAAGGCCAGCCAGGCUUUCCGGGCCCACCGGUGAGUGAAGAAGACACAAAGCCAGCUCUGUCUGAUGUGGUCUCAUCGGGAGGGGCAGGCCUGACCAGGCCAGGCUGGGGGUCCCCCUGGAUUCCCAGGCAAAGUUGGAUCACCUGGCCCACCUGGCCCUCAAGCAGAGAAGGGCAGCGAAGGGAUUCGAGGCCCAUCAGGCCUGCCUGGCUCCCCUGGGCCACCGGGACCUCCUGGGAUUCAGGGCCCCGCCGGUCUGGAUGGUUUGGAUGGGAAGGACGGCAAGCCUGGCUUGAGGGGGGACCCUGGUCCUGCUGGCCCCCCUGGACUCAUGGGACCACCGGGCUUUAAGGGGAAAACAGGACAUCCUGGCCUCCCAGGACCUAAGGGUGACUGUGGCAAACCAGGUCCCCCUGGCAGCACUGGCCGGCCUGGCGCAGAGGGUGAACCUGGUGCCAUGGGACCCCAGGGAAGACCCGGUCCCCCGGGACAC
This 676-nucleotide long non-coding RNA is filed under the name Homo sapiens (human). Its description in RNAcentral is "non-protein coding lnc-PEF1-3:5". The record is from RNAcentral. Lineage: Eukaryota; Metazoa; Chordata; Mammalia; Primates; Hominidae.